AUACGGAGGGUCCGAGCGUUAUCCGGAAUCAUUGGGUUUAAAGGGUACGUAGGCGGGAAUCUAAGUCAGUGGUGAAAUCUUGCAGCUCAACUGUAAAAUUGCCAUUGAUACUGGAUUUCUUGAAUUAGUGUGAAGUGGUUAGAAUGUGUAGUGUAGCGGUGAAAUGCAUAGAUAUUACACAGAAUACCAAUUGCGAAGGCAGAUCACUAACACUAUAUUGACGCUAAGGGACGAAAGCGUGGGGAGCGAACAGGAUUAGAAACCCCGGUAGUCC
Molecule: ribosomal RNA, 274 nt
Filed under: uncultured bacterium
Lineage: Bacteria
Description: partial 16S ribosomal RNA
Rfam family: Bacterial small subunit ribosomal RNA
Source: RNAcentral